GACGAACGUUGGCGGCGUGCCUAAUACAUGCAAGUCAACUGAAAUACCGGUAGCAAUACUGGUAUGGAGGUGGCGCACGGGUGAGUAACACGUAGGUAAUCUGCCUUCAGGUCUGACAUAACCCAUCGAAAGGUGAGCUAAUAUCAGAUGAUGCAGCGGCUUGACAUCAAGACAGUUGUUAAAGCUUCGGCGCCUGAAGAUGAGCCUGCGUCUGAUUAGCUAGUUGGCGGGGUAACGGCCCACCAAGGCUGCGAUCAGUAGCUGGUCUGAGAGGAUGAUCAGUCACACUGGAACUGAGACACGGUCCAGACUCCUACGGGAGCAGCAGUAAGGAAUAUUGCUCAAUGGCCGAAAGGCUGAAGCAGCAACGCCGCGUGAGGGAUGGAA
RNAcentral lists this ribosomal RNA (387 nucleotides) under uncultured bacterium. RNAcentral's name for it is "bacterial SSU rRNA". It matches the Rfam family "Bacterial small subunit ribosomal RNA", at positions 28 to 413 of the family's 1533-position model. The record is from RNAcentral.